RNAcentral lists this ribosomal RNA (726 nucleotides) under uncultured bacterium. Its description in RNAcentral is "bacterial SSU rRNA". It matches the Rfam family "Bacterial small subunit ribosomal RNA", at positions 59 to 793 of the family's 1533-position model. The record is from RNAcentral.
CAGUCGAACGGACUUAACUCAUUCUUUUAGAUUGAGAGCGGUUAGUGGCGGACUGGUGAGUAACACGUAAGCAACCUGCCUAUCAGAGGGGAAUAACAGUGAGAAAUCAUUGCUAAUACCGCAUAAGCUAGUAGUAUCGCAUGAUAUAGCUAGAAAAGGAGCAAUCCGCUGAUAGAUGGGCUUGCGUCUGAUUAGCUAGUUGGUGGGGUAACGGCCUACCAAGGCGACGAUCAGUAGCCGGACUGAGAGGUUGAACGGCCACAUUGGGACUGAGAUACGGCCCAGACUCCUACGGGAGGCAGCAGUCGGGAAUAUUGCGCAAUGGAGGAAACUCUGACGCAGUGACGCCGCGUAUAGGAAGAAGGUUUUCGGAUUGUAAACUAUUGUCGUGAGGGAAGAAAUUGACAGUACCUCAGGAGGAAGCUCCGGCUAACUAUGUGCCAGCAGCCGCGGUAAUACAUAGGGAGCAAGCGUUAUCCGGAUUUAUUGGGUGUAAAGGGUGCGUAGACGGGAAAUUAAGUUAGUUGUGAAAUCCCUCGGCUUAACUGAGGAACUGCAACUAAAACUGAUUUUCUUGAGUACUGGAGAGGAAAGUGGAAUUCCUAGUGUAGCGGUGAAAUGCGUAGAUAUUAGGAGGAACACCAGUGGCGAAGGCGACUUUCUGGACAGUAACUGACGUUGAGGCACGAAAGUGUGGGGAGCAAACAGGAUUAGAUACCCUGGUAG